RNAcentral lists this ribosomal RNA (316 nucleotides) under uncultured eukaryote. Its description in RNAcentral is "partial 18S ribosomal RNA". It matches the Rfam family "Eukaryotic small subunit ribosomal RNA", at positions 1470 to 1796 of the family's 1831-position model. The record is from RNAcentral.
CCCUUAGAUGUUCUGGGCCGCACGCGUGCUACACUGACCGGCGCAACAAGUUUCUUUCCUUGGCUCGAUAGGCCUGGGUAAUCUUUGAACGCCGGUCGUGAUGGGGAUAGAUCCUUGCAAUUUUUGAUCUUCAACGAGGAAUUCCUAGUAAAUGCGAGUCAUCACCUCGCGUUGAUUACGUCCCUGCCCUUUGUACACACCGCCCGUCGCACCUACCGAUUGAAUGGUCCGGUGAAGCCUCGGGAUUGCGAAUGCUUCGUGCGGACGCGAGAACUUGGCUAAACCUUACCAUUUAGAGGAAGGUGAANUCGUANCA